RNAcentral lists this ribosomal RNA (833 nucleotides) under Acinetobacter sp. Its description in RNAcentral is "bacterial SSU rRNA". It matches the Rfam family "Bacterial small subunit ribosomal RNA", at positions 54 to 881 of the family's 1533-position model. The record is from RNAcentral. Lineage: Bacteria; Pseudomonadati; Pseudomonadota; Gammaproteobacteria; Moraxellales; Moraxellaceae.
CAUGCAAGUCGAGCGGGGGAAGGUAGCUUGCUACUGGACCUAGCGGCGGACGGGUGAGUAAUGCUUAGGAAUCUGCCUAUUAGUGGGGGACAACAUCUCGAAAGGGAUGCUAAUACCGCAUACGUCUUGCGAGAGCAAGCAGGGGAUCUUUGGACCUUGCGCUCAUAGAAGAGCCUCAGUCGGAUUAACUAGGUAGUGGGGUAAAGGCCUCCCAAGGCGGCGAUUUCUAACGUGUUUGAGAAGAAGAUCCACCCCCCUGGGACUGAAACCCGGCCCAGACUUCUUCGGGAGGCAGCAGUGGGGAAUAUUGGACAAUGGGCGCAAGCCUGAUCCAGCCAUGCCGCGUGUGUGAAGAAGGCCUUAUGGUUGUAAAACUCUUUAAACGAGGAGGAGGCUACUUUAGAUUAUUCCCAGAGAUAAUGGACGUUACUCGCAGAAUAAGCACCGGCUAACUCCGUGCCAGCAGCCGCGGUAAUACAGAGGGUGCAAGCGUUAAUCGGAUUUACUGGGCGUAAAGCGCGCGCAGGCGGUUAAUCAAGUCAAAUGUGAAAUCCCCGAGCUCAACUUGGGAAUUGCAUUCGAUACUGGCAAGCUAGAGUGUGGUAGAGGAGGGUAGAAUUCCAGGUGUAGCGGUGAAAUGCGUAGAGAUCUGGAGGAAUACCGAUGGCGAAGGCAGCCCCCUGGCCAAAGACUGACGCUGAGGUGCGAAAGCAUGGGGAGCAAACAGGAUUAGAUACCCUGGUAGUCCACGCCGUAAACGAUGUCUACUAGCCGUUGGGGCCUUUGAGGCUUUAGUGGCGCAGCUAACGCGAUAAGUAGACCGCCUGGGGAGU